This 393-nucleotide ribosomal RNA is filed under the name uncultured bacterium. RNAcentral describes it as "partial 16S ribosomal RNA". It matches the Rfam family "Bacterial small subunit ribosomal RNA", at positions 338 to 728 of the family's 1533-position model. The record is from RNAcentral.
CCUACGGGAGGCAGCAGUGAGGAAUAUUGGUCAAUGGGCGGAAGCCUGAACCAGCCAAGCCGCGUGAGGGAUGAAGGUACUGAGUAUCGUAAACCUCUUUUGUCAGGGAAUACAGACUGGGACGAGUCCUAUUAUGAGUGUACCUUAAGAAUAAGCAUCGGCUAACUCCGUGCCAGCAGCCGCGGUAAUACUGCGGAUGCGAGCGUUAUCCGGAUGUAGUGGGUUUAAAGGGUGCGUAGGCGGUCUUUUAAGUCAGCGGUGAAAGUCCGGGGCUCAACCACGGCAAUGCCGUGGAACCUGGUAGGCUGGAGUAGGUGGGAGGUAGGAGGAAUGCGUGGUGUAGCGGUGAAAUGCGUAGAUAUCACGCAGAACCCCGAGGGCGAAGGCAGCUUG